UUAGGAAAUUGACGGAGGGGCCCCACCGGGAUGGGACCCGGCUGGUGAAUAUUGUCAAACACGUAAACCAUACAUCAAAAGGAAUGAUAGACUUAAGCUCAUUCUUGAAUUGGGUUGUGGUGCAUGCCAUUGAUUGUAUAAAGUGAUUUUUUGACAUUGGACGGCCAAGAAGGGAUCUGGAUGGGAUCCAUUAAAACUUCUUACAGGGAAAUACGGCUUUUUGCGCUUUAGAAUGACCUAAACUUGUCUAAGAUGCCCUUGGAUGUUAUGGAUAGAACAUGGGCUACAUCCAAGAAAUCGAUGCCCUUCCCUUGUCCGAGAGGACUAAGGAAAAUGCUGAAACUUCUUUGUGGUUGGGAUUGGGAUUAUGAAUUACUUCCCAUGAACGAGGAAUUCCCAGUAGACGCGAGUCAUAAGCUUGCGUCGAUUACGUCCCUGCCCUUUGUACACACCGCCCGUCACUACUACCCAUCGAGUGAUUACGUGAGGACUUCGUACUGGUCUUCACUAUCGCUUCUA
This 519-nucleotide ribosomal RNA is filed under the name uncultured eukaryote. RNAcentral's name for it is "bacterial SSU rRNA". It matches the Rfam family "Eukaryotic small subunit ribosomal RNA", at positions 1145 to 1736 of the family's 1831-position model. The record is from RNAcentral.